This 140-nucleotide small nucleolar RNA is filed under the name Callithrix jacchus (white-tufted-ear marmoset). Its description in RNAcentral is "Small Cajal body specific RNA 21 (ENSCJAG00000028479.3)". It matches the Rfam family "Small Cajal body specific RNA 21". Rfam says of the family: scaRNAs are a specific class of small nuclear RNAs which localise to the Cajal bodies and guide the modification of RNA polymerase II transcribed spliceosomal RNAs U1, U2, U4, U5 and U12. ACA68 (SCARNA21) is a member of the H/ACA class of snoRNAs that guide the sites of modification of uridines to pseudouridines. The record is from Rfam by way of RNAcentral. Lineage: Eukaryota; Metazoa; Chordata; Mammalia; Primates; Cebidae.
UGGCUCAGUUUCCUGGGGGGUGGGCCCAGCCUACUCUACCUCCCCUCAGCUGAGCCUAUAGUAGAGGGGCCAGGCAUCCUCCCCCAUGGGAGAGGCAUUUGAGUAAGGAGCCUUGCCUCUGGUGUCCUAGCUGCACAUUU